Molecule: ribosomal RNA, 792 nt
Filed under: Escherichia coli
Lineage: Bacteria; Pseudomonadati; Pseudomonadota; Gammaproteobacteria; Enterobacterales; Enterobacteriaceae
Description: partial 23S ribosomal RNA
Rfam family: Bacterial large subunit ribosomal RNA
Source: RNAcentral
AUGGCCAGGCUGUCUCCACCCGAGACUCAGUGAAAUUGAACUCGCUGUGAAGAUGCAGUGUACCCGCGGCAAGACGGAAAGACCCCGUGAACCUUUACUAUAGCUUGACACUGAACAUUGAGCCUUGAUGUGUAGGAUAGGUGGGAGGCUUUGAAGUGUGGACGCCAGUCUGCAUGGAGCCGACCUUGAAAUACCACCCUUUAAUGUUUGAUGUUCUAACGUUGACCCGUAAUCCGGGUUGCGGACAGUGUCUGGUGGGUAGUUUGACUGGGGCGGUCUCCUCCUAAAGAGUAACGGAGGAGCACGAAGGUUGGCUAAUCCUGGUCGGACAUCAGGAGGUUAGUGCAAUGGCAUAAGCCAGCUUGACUGCGAGCGUGACGGCGCGAGCAGGUGCGAAAGCAGGUCAUAGUGAUCCGGUGGUUCUGAAUGGAAGGGCCAUCGCUCAACGGAUAAAAGGUACUCCGGGGAUAACAGGCUGAUACCGCCCAAGAGUUCAUAUCGACGGCGGUGUUUGGCACCUCGAUGUCGGCUCAUCACAUCCUGGGGCUGAAGUAGGUCCCAAGGGUAUGGCUGUUCGCCAUUUAAAGUGGUACGCGAGCUGGGUUUAGAACGUCGUGAGACAGUUCGGUCCCUAUCUGCCGUGGGCGCUGGAGAACUGAGGGGGGCUGCUCCUAGUACGAGAGGACCGGAGUGGACGCAUCACUGGUGUUCGGGUUGUCAUGCCAAUGGCACUGCCCGGUAGCUAAAUGCGGAAGAGAUAAGUGCUGAAAGCAUCUAAGCACGAAACUUGCC